UACAGAGGGGGCAAGCGUUGUUCGGAAUUACUGGGCGUAAAGGGCGCGUAGGCGGCCUGUUAAGUCGAACGUGAAAUCCCUGGGCUCAACCCAGGAACUGCGUCCGAUACUGGCAGGCUUGAAUCCGGGAGAGGGAUGUGGAAUUCCAGGUGUAGCGGUGAAAUGCGUAGAUAUCUGGAGGAACACCGGUGGCGAAGGCGGCAUCCUGGACCGGCAUUGACGCUGAGGCGCGAAAGUCAGGGGAGCAAACGGG
RNAcentral lists this ribosomal RNA (253 nucleotides) under uncultured bacterium. RNAcentral's name for it is "partial 16S ribosomal RNA". It matches the Rfam family "Bacterial small subunit ribosomal RNA", at positions 524 to 776 of the family's 1533-position model. The record is from RNAcentral.